UUAAGCUAUAAAGAGCAUAGGGUGGAUGCCUAGGCACUGAGAGCCGACGAAAGACGUGAUAAGCUGCGAUAAGCUGCGGUAAGGAGCAAAUAUCCAUUGACCCGCAGAUUUCUGAAUGGGGAAACCUACGCAAGAAGACCUUGCGUACUCAUGCAUGAAUACAUAGUGUAUGAGAGGGAACCCGGGGAACUGAAACAUCUAAGUACCCGGAGGAAGAGAAAGAAACAUCGAUUUCCUGAGUAGCGGCGAGCGAAAGGGAAAGAGCCCAAACCAGAGGAUUUAUCCUUUGGGGUUAGGACUGCAUAAUUGAUCUGCAAUUGAUAGGAGAACGGUCUGGGAAGUCCGGCGAGAAAGCGUGAAAGCCGCGUAUCCGAAAUCGAAAGCAGCAAGGCAGGAUCCAGAGUACCACGAGACACGAGAAACCUUGUGGGAAUGAGCGGAGACCACUCCGUAAGGCUAAAUACUACUCAGUGACCGAUAGCGCAUAGUACUGUGAAGGAAAGGUGAAAAGGACCCCGGGAGGGGAGUGAAAGAGAACCUGAAACCCUGUGUUUACAAGCUGUCGAAGCACGAAAGUGCGACGGCGUACUUUUUGUAGAACGGUCCGGCGAGUUAUGAUGAGUGGUAAGGUUAAGGACUUAAGGUCCGGAGCCGAAGCGAAAGCGAGUGUUAAAAGCACGGUUGAAUCGCUUAUCAUAGACCCGAAACCGGGUGAUCUAUCCAUGUCCAGGUUGAAGCUGCCGUAAGAGGUAGUGGAGGACCGAACACACAUCCGUUGAAAAGGGUGGUGAUGAGGUGUGGAUAGGGGAGAAAUUCCAAUCGAACCCGGAGAUAGCUGGUUCUCCUCGAAAUAGCUUUAGGGCUAGCCUCUGGUUAGUCUGCCGCAGGUAGAGCACUGAAUUUCCUAGGGGGCGUCAAAGCCUACCGAAGAAUAUCAAACUGCGAAUGGCGGACAGAUGAUGCCAGGGAGUCAGACUGCACGAGAUAAGUUGGGUGGUCAAAAGGGAAAGAGCCCAGACCUACAGCUAAGGUCCCAAAGUGUGUGUUAAGUGGAAAAGGAUGUGGGAUUUCGAAGACAACUAGGAUGUUGGCUCAGAAGCAGCCAUACAUUAAAAGAGUGCGUAAUAGCUCACUAGUCGAGAGGUCCUGCGCCGAAAAUGUCCGGGGCUGAAACACAACACCGAAGCUGCGGAACCCGCAAGGGUUGGUAGAGGAGCAUUCUUAAAGGAACGAAGCAGUACCGUAAGGAGCUGUGGACUUUUAAGAAGAGAGAAUGCCGGAAUGAGUAGCGAGAGUAAGGUGAGAAUCCUUACGGCCGAAUAUCCAAGGUUUCCAGGGUAAAGCUGAUCUGCCCUGGGGAAGUCGGGACCUAAGGCGAGGCCGAGAGGCGUAGCCGAUGGACAACAGGUUGAGAUUCCUGUACUACAGUAUGACAGAACUGUGGGGACGCAGAAGGAGAGCACUACCUGGAAUGGAAUCCAGGGGCAAGCACAGGAGGGGUACGGCUGGAAAAACCGCCGUGCAACCCAAAGGUGUGACGCAUACCGAACUAAAGUAGGGAAAUGUGUGAGCCGGCUGCCGAGAAAAGCCGCUAUUGUUUGUACUGUACCCGUACCGUAAACCGACACAGGUGGAUGAGGAGAGAAUCCUAAGGCCGACGGAAGAAGCAUUGCUAAGGAACUCGGCAAAAUGACCCUGUAACUUCGGGAGAAAGGGUGCCUCGAAAGAGGCCGCAGAGAAUAGGCCCAAGCAACUGUUUAGCAAAAACACAGGUCUAUGCAAAACCGCAAGGUGAAGUAUAUGGGCUGACGCCUGCCCGGUGCUGGAAGGUUAAGGGGAGAUGUCAGGAGACGAAGCAUCGAACUUAAGCCCCAGUAAACGGCGGCCGUAACUAUAACGGUCCUAAGGUAGCGAAAUUCCUUGUCGGGUAAGUUCCG
This 1937-nucleotide ribosomal RNA is filed under the name human gut metagenome. RNAcentral describes it as "bacterial LSU rRNA". It matches the Rfam family "Bacterial large subunit ribosomal RNA", at positions 3 to 1985 of the family's 2925-position model. The record is from RNAcentral.